This 2013-nucleotide ribosomal RNA is filed under the name wastewater metagenome. Its description in RNAcentral is "bacterial LSU rRNA". It matches the Rfam family "Bacterial large subunit ribosomal RNA", at positions 441 to 2316 of the family's 2925-position model. The record is from RNAcentral.
AAUCUGGCGGGACCACCCGCUAAGCCUAAAUACUCCUUGGUGACCGAUAGCGGACAAGUACCGUGAGGGAAAGGUGAAAAGAACCCCGGGAGGGGAGUGAAAUAGAACCUGAAACCAUUUGCUUACAAUCCGUCGGAGCGAUGACUUCGGUUGUUGUGACGGCGUGCCUUUUGAAGAAUGAGCCUGCGAGUUAGCGGUGUGUGGCGAGGUUAACCCGAGUGGGGUAGCCGUAGCGAAAGCGAGUCUGAAUAGGGCGAUUCAGUCGCACACUCUAGACCCGAAGCGGAGUGAUCUACCCAUGGCCAGGGUGAAGCGACGGUAAGACGUCGUGGAGGCCCGAACCCACCAAAGUUGAAAAUUUGGGGGAUGAGCUGUGGGUAGGGGUGAAAGGCCAAUCAAACUCCGUGAUAGCUGGUUCUCCCCGAAAUGCAUUUAGGUGCAGCGUCAUGUGUUUCUUGCCGGAGGUAGAGCUACUGGAUGGGCUAGGGGGCCUACAAGCUUACUGAACUCAGCCAAACUCCGAAUGCCGGCAAGUGAGAACAUGGCAGUGAGACUGCGGGGGAUAAGCUUCGUAGUCGAGAGGGAAACAGCCCAGACCACCAACUAAGGCCCCUAAGCGUGUGCUAAGUGGGAAAGGAUGUGGAGUCGCACAGACAACCAGGAGGUUGGCUUAGAAGCAGCCACCCUUGAAAGAGUGCGUAAUAGCUCACUGGUCAAGUGAUUCCGCGCCGACAAUUUAGCGGGGCUCAAGCACACCGCCGAAGUUGUGGCAUUCACACACCUGCUAGGCCUUCGUGGUCCAAGCGUGUGGAUGGGUAGGGGAGCGUCGUGUGGCGAGCGAAGCGGCCGGGUAACCGAGCCGUGGAUGCCACACGAGUGAGAAUGCAGGCAUGAGUAGCGAAAGACUGGUGAGAAACCAGUCCGCCGAAUGACCAAGGGUUCCAGGGCCAGGCUAAUCCGCCCUGGGUAAGUCGGGACCUAAGACGAGGCCGACAGGCGUAGUCGAUGGACAACGGGUUGAUAUUCCCGUACCGGCUGUACCGCGACCCUGCCGAGGCAGAGGAUGCUAAGCGUCCGAAUCCGCUGCGACCUUCGGGUCAAGGUGGAGGAGCACGCGAACCGAAUCUGUAGUAGGCAAGCAAUGGGGUGACGCAGGAAGGUAGCUCAACCCGGGCGAUGGUUGUCCCGGGGUAAGGAUGUAGGGCGAGACGUAGGCAAAUCCGCGUCUCACAUGCCUGAGAUCUGACGCCGAGCCGAUUAAGGCGAAGUGAGUGAUCCUAUGCUGCCGAGAAAAGCCUCUAGCGAGUUGUACAGCCGCCCGUACCCCAAACCGACACAGGUGGUCAGGUAGAGAAUACCAAGGCGAUCGAGAGAACUGUGGUUAAGGAACUCGGCAAAAUACCCCCGUAACUUCGGGAGAAGGGGGGCCGAUUGAUGUGACGGGACUUGCUCCCUGAGCACCGGUUGGCCGCAGAGACCAGGCCCAAGCGACUGUUUACUAAAAACAUAGGUCCAUGCGAAGUCGCAAGACGAUGUAUAUGGACUGACGCCUGCCCGGUGCUGGAACGUUAAGGGGACGGGUUAGCGACUUCGGUCGCGAAGCUCAGAACUUAAGCGCCAGUAAACGGCGGUGGUAACUAUAACCAUCCUAAGGUAGCGAAAUUCCUUGUCGGGUAAGUUCCGACCUGCACGAAUGGCGUAACGACUUGGGCGCUGUCUCAACCACAGACUCGGCGAAAUUGCACUACGAGUAAAGAUGCUCGUUACGCGCGGCAGGACGGAAAGACCCCGGGACCUUUACUACAGCUUGGUAUUGGUGGUCGGUUCGAUUUGUGUAGGAUAGGUGGGAGACUAUGAAGCGUGGACGCCAGUCCAUGUGGAGUCAUCGUUGAAAUACCACUCUGAUCGUGCUGGCUGUCUAACUUAGGUCCGUGAUCCGGAUCAAGGACAGUGCCUGGUGGGUAGUUUAACUGGGGCGGUUGCCUCCUAAAAUGUAACGGAGGCGCUCAAAGG